AUUGAACGCUGGCGGCAUGCCUUACACAUGCAAGUCGAACGGCAGCACGGGAGCAAUCCUGGUGGCGAGUGGCGAACGGGUGAGUAAUAUAUCGGAACGUGCCCAGUCGUGGGGAUAACGUAGCGAAAGCUACGCUAAUACCGCAUACGAUCUAUGGAUGAAAGCGGGGGAUCGCAAGACCUCGCGCGAUUGGAGCGGCCGAUAUCAGAUUAGCUAGUUGGUAAGGUAACGGCUUACCAAGGCAACGAUGGGUAGGGGUCCUGAGAGGGAGAUCCCCCCACACUGGUACUGAGACACGGACCAGACUCCUACGGGAGGCAGCAGUGAGGAAUAUUGGACAAUGGGCGCAAGCCUGAUCCAGCCAUGCCGCGUGCAGGAUGACGGUCCUAUGGAUUGUAAACUGCUUUUUGUACGGAACGAAACGGUGAGCUCUAAUACAGUUUGCUAAUGACGGUACCGUAAGAAUAAGCACCGGCUAAC
This 480-nucleotide ribosomal RNA is filed under the name uncultured bacterium. RNAcentral describes it as "bacterial SSU rRNA". It matches the Rfam family "Bacterial small subunit ribosomal RNA", at positions 30 to 501 of the family's 1533-position model. The record is from RNAcentral.